This 253-nucleotide ribosomal RNA is filed under the name uncultured bacterium. RNAcentral's name for it is "partial 16S ribosomal RNA". It matches the Rfam family "Archaeal small subunit ribosomal RNA", at positions 474 to 727 of the family's 1478-position model. The record is from RNAcentral.
UACCAGCACCCCGAGUGGUCGGGACGAUUAUUGGGCCUAAAGCAUCCGUAGCCGGUCAUGCAAGUCCUCCGUUAAAUCCCGCCGCUCAACGGUUGGGCUGCGGAGGAUACUACGUGGCUAGGAGGCGGGAGAGGCAAGCGGUACUCAGUGGGUAGGGGUAAAAUCCUUUGAUCCAUUGAAGACCACCAGUGGCGAAGGCGGCUUGCCAGAACGCGCUCGACGGUGAGGGAUGAAAGCUGGGGGAGCAAACCGG